Molecule: long non-coding RNA, 2659 nt
Organism: Anguilla rostrata (American eel)
Lineage: Eukaryota; Metazoa; Chordata; Actinopteri; Anguilliformes; Anguillidae
Exons: 2
Source: RefSeq, a predicted model, not a curated record
UGUCUUGUGGAUCUGCGUGUCUGUGGCGCUGUUGCUCGCUGUAAUGGAGGGGUUCCAUGGUCACGCCUGAAACAGCAGGUGAAGACUAACAGGGAACUCGGGGUUCCGAGCAGAAAGCAAGCAGGAAUUUCCCAGAUAAUUUGGGCCUGGGGUGUCCAAUCAUUUCAGACAUCAUCUGUUUACAGUUUGUGAGUGAUAACUCUGCCCUGGGGACACCCCUUGGAGAGAAAUUCAAAUUGUAUUUCAGAUUCGCUAGCACAAUAUGAAUACAAAUUGUCCAAACAGUUUGUGGACAUUAAAUCGUCACUUAAUACUUUGCCUAUAGACUUCACUGAUGAAAAAAAUAUAGAAGAUAUUCUAAAUUCCAAUUCCAAAAAUCCACUAAGUCUUGCUAGUACUGCAGUCAUUUUGGUGGCACCAUUGUUCCCUCUAUACAGCCUCUCUUCUGCUUCUCUCUUUCUCUGUGUCUAGCUGGCUCUUGCAUGCCUCCAUAGCUUCAUUUAAUCUCUAUCCCAGAGUAGUAGAUGCCUGUCUCCAGUAGCAAAUUCUCCCUUUUAUUUUCAUAAUUUUACUGCAGACAAACCUUUCUGUCUGGAAAUACUCUCGAAGGCACUUCGGGUUCUGUCUCGGAGUGUCUGCUAUAGAAGUUGUGUAAUUCUAUUGGUGUAUGGCGUUUGAUUUAUAAGCCAGGCUUAUAGGAAUGUCAAAUACUGCACAAUAUACAGAUCCUCCUUUUUUGCCUGUAGUAUCACCAGAGAUUUGUGUGAAGUGCAUUACAGUUUUAUAGAAGUACAGAUCUCUGCUGGACGUGUGUCAGUCAGGCUAUAGUGAAAAAUAUUUUUAUUUUAUCUGAAAUUUAGUUCUUUGAGCAUGGGGAAAUCAUUAAUAAUGGUGUUAAAGUGACUUCUCCCACAAACACCCUAAUCUGUGUUGUACUGUACAGAGGCCACAGCAGCUCAUAUACCUCAAAAGGAUCAUUAACGAGUAUGGGAAUGACACCAACUCUGGUCAUAGUUAUUCUUUGAAUCGGUAUUGAGUGGACAAGUAUGCAGGAUCUCCGUCUACUCUUGCCAGUCUGAAUGUCUCUUUGAAAGUGUUUUACAAUUCAAUUAAAACCAGCCUGCCUAGAUUAAUCUGGUACCAUAUCAGCAUAAAGUCAGUACUUCUCAGCAUAGAGAGAAUGGCAUUGGAAGCAAGAGGUCCUAGCCACCAAAAAUCAGUUACACCACGUGCUCGAUACAGUGGUUUGGAUCUUACUGGUCAGGUAGUUUGUAAACUCUCCUGGCUAAAAGUAUCUUUUGGUCGCACACUCCUAGCAUGUUAAAUCCAGUUCAAUGUGUUCAUCUCAUUAGAACAGCAAUACAGUACAGUGCGAGUUGAUUGAAUCUAGUGGAUAGCUUUAACAAAUGACGAGUUGCCAUCCUUGGUUGGGAUGAACGUUGACGGUCUGGACUUAAACAUUGCCUUUAUUGUUCAGUUAUUGCUCAGUAAUAUUUUGAUUUUAAAGAAAUGCUGGCAGGAGUAAAGCUCCUUACAGUUGCAAUCCUUAUGCAAAAUGAAAUACCAAAUAAAAUUGUCUCAAUGUUGUAAUGUGCUACCAAAAGUGUAAAGGUCCAAGUUCACUAUGAAGUAAUGCAUUUGUGGCAGUAUGGUUAUCCCCAAACCCCAGCUGAUCAGGAAGGAGUCUGAAUACUAGUUCCAGCCACAUAAAAUAAGGAAAUGAAUGAUUUUAUAGUAAUCGUGUACUAAACAAAUGCCUCUUCAGUUUCAAAGAACAGUUUUGUUCUUUCCCCUUCCCUUUCUCUAUAUAAUUUAAAAUCCUCUCUUCUGGAACAGCAAAUAAAAUGAAUUGAAAGGAGGGUUUGAAAGCUUAACCUUAAUAAACAAAACAAAUAAAGCCUUUUAAGCCUGUAUGUCUAGUCACUCAUUUAAGAAUGUAGUAUAGAGACUUGCAGUUUAGAUAUGCUAGUUACCCUAGUGCAGGUUACCCAGGAAAGGUGUGUUUUUAAAUAGAACACCUUGAAGGUAGCUAGAUUCCCCAGUUCUCUUACCAUUUAUCAUCUACAGGUCUGACAGCUAAAGCAAUGAAAACCUCAACUAGAAAGUCAGAGAAGGCUAGGCAGAUUACCUGCUAAAACAAAGCUGCUGACGCAUGGCAUGUAGUAGAAUCAGAAUGAGUCAUUUUUUCUCUUUUGAUGCCAACAGGAAGGGCGUCGUCGCACCCUCAUUGGCCUAGAGAAAAUGCAACUAGUAAACGCCAUAGGAUAGGUGACUGCUACACAUUAUGUGUUCAUCCCCUUGAACCUGUGGAGUUGUACUUGAAAGGAUCUCAUGCUGCAAUGAAAUAUAUGUUGCUGCCUUCAAACAGGACUCUAAAGGCUCAUUUAAUUUUACACAGACACCCCUGUGGAUUUAUGUGUGAUCUAGAACUUUGCAACAAAAGAUGAAUUAGAAUAGAUAGAAUCAGGGUGGUGACUAUCAUGAUACAGCUCAGUCUGUCUCAGUUUGACAGUUCUGUGGUUUACUGCCUCUACUCAGGGGACAGGUUUUGUGCCAGAAGUCUUCCUUUCCCCUGUGUGGCUAUUCAGACAGGCUUAACAAAGCCACACCAUCUCGCCGUUACAGCAGGAAGGGUGGCUUAUGCAUCCUUCCUACUGCU